This 2105-nucleotide ribosomal RNA is filed under the name metagenome. RNAcentral's name for it is "bacterial LSU rRNA". It matches the Rfam family "Bacterial large subunit ribosomal RNA", at positions 487 to 2619 of the family's 2925-position model. The record is from RNAcentral.
AUAGCGCAUAGUACUGUGAAGGAAAGGUGAAAAGGACCCCGGGAGGGGAGUGAAAGAGAACCUGAAACCAUAUGUUUACAAGCUGUGGAACAUCUUUAUAUGAUGAACCGCGUACUUUUUGUAGAACGGUCCGGCGAGUUACGCUGGCUGGCGAGGUUAAGGGCUGAAGGCCUGGAGCCGAAGGGAAACCGAGUCUGAACAGGGCGAAAUAGUCAGUCGGAGUAGACCCGAAACCGGGUGAUCUAUCCAUGUCCAGGUUGAAGUUGCCGUAAAAGGCAAUGGAGGACCGAACCCACAUCCGUUGAAAAGGGUGGGGAUGAGGUGUGGAUAGGGGAGAAAUUCCAAUCGAACCCGGAGAUAGCUGGUUCUCCUCGAAAUAGCUUUAGGGCUAGCCUCAUGCAAGUCUUACGGAGGUAGAGCACUGAAUUCCUAAGGGGGCGUCAAAGCUUACCAAGGGAUAUCAAACUCCGAAUGCCGUGUAGAUGGUGCAUGGGAGUCAGACUAUCCGAGAUAAGUUGGGUAGUCAAAAGGGAAAGAGCCCAGACCUACAGCUAAGGUCCCAAAAUGUGUGUUAAGUGGAAAAGGAUGUGGGAUUUCGAAGACAACUAGGAUGUUGGCUUAGAAGCAGCCAUCCAUUAAAAGAGUGCGUAAUAGCUCACUAGUCGAGAGGUCCUGCGCCGAAAAUGUCCGGGGCUGAAACACACUACCGAAGCUUGGGAAUUGACGAAUGUUAAUUGGUAGAGGAGCAUUCUUAACGGGGCGAAGCUGUACCGGAAGGAGCAGUGGACUGUUAAGAAGAGAGAAUGCCGGAAUGAGUAGCGAGAGGAAGGUGAGAAUCCUUCCGGCCGAAUAUCUAAGGUUUCCAGAGUAAAGCUGAUCUGCUCUGGGUAAGUCGGGGCCUAAGGCGAGGUCGAAAGACGUAGUCGAUGGAUAACAGGUAAAGAUUCCUGUACUAUAUCAUAACAGAACUGUGGGGACGCAGACAGAGAGCAUAAGCCGGGAAUGGAAAAACCGGUACAAGCGAGGUAGGAGUGCAUCAGGCAAAUCCGGUGCACAAUCUGAAGACGUGAUGUGGGGCGUAAAGCCGGAAGUAUGUGAGCUGGCUGCCAAGAAAAGCCGCUAUUGUUUAUGAUAUACCCGUACCGUAAACCGACACAGGUGGAUGAGGAGAGAAUCCUAAGGCCGACGGGAGAAGCAUUGUUAAGGAACUCGGCAAAAUGACUCCGUAACUUCGGGAGAAGGAGUGCCAUGUAAAAGUGGCCGCAGAGAAUUGGCCCAAGCAACUGUUUAGCAAAAACACAGGUCUAUGCAAAACCGAAAGGUGAGGUAUAUGGGCUGACGCCUGCCCGGUGCUGGAAGGUUAAGGGGAGAGGUUAGUCGUAAGGCGAAGCUUUGAACUUAAGCCCCAGUAAACGGCGGCCGUAACUAUAACGGUCCUAAGGUAGCGAAAUUCCUUGUCGGGUAAGUUCCGACCCGCACGAAAGGCGUAAUGAUUUGGGCACUGUCUCAACAAUGCACCCGGUGAAAUUGAAAUACCAGUGAAGAUGCUGGUUACCUGCGCCAGGACGGAAAGACCCCAUGGAGCUUUACUCCAGCUUGAUACUGGGAUUCGAUAUUGCAUGUACAGGAUAGGUGGGAGACUGAGAACUGAUGACGCCAGUUGUCAGGGAGUCACUGUUGGGAUACCACCCUUGUAGUAUUGGAUUUCUAACCAGCAGCCGUGAACCGGCUGGGGGACAAUGUCAGGUGGGGAGUUUGACUGGGGCGGUCGCCUCCGAAAGGGUAUCGGAGGCGCUCAAAGGUUCCCUCAGAAUGGUUGGAAACCAUUCGAAGAGUGCAAAGGCAGAAGGGAGCUUGACUGCGACACCGACGGGUGGAGCAGGUACGAAAGUAGGACUUAGUGAUCCGGUGGUAUAAAGUGGGAUUGCCAUCGCUCAACGGAUAAAAGCUACCCUGGGGAUAACAGGCUUAUCACUCCCAAGAGUUCACAUCGACGGAGUGGUUUGGCACCUCGAUGUCGGCUCAUCGCAUCCUGGGGCUGAAGUAGGUCCCAAGGGUUGGGCUGUUCGCCCAUUAAAGCGGUACGCGAGCUGGGUUCAGAACGU